ACCUGGCUGGCUUAGUAGGUAGAACAUGGGACUCCUGAUCUCAGGGUUGUGAGUUCGAGUCCCAUACUGGGUC
RNAcentral lists this transfer RNA (73 nucleotides) under Felis catus (domestic cat). It matches the Rfam family "tRNA". Rfam says of the family: Transfer RNA (tRNA) molecules are approximately 80 nucleotides in length. The record is from Rfam by way of RNAcentral. Lineage: Eukaryota; Metazoa; Chordata; Mammalia; Carnivora; Felidae. RNAcentral also lists the same sequence under 2 other names.